RNAcentral lists this RNase P RNA (360 nucleotides) under Bacteroidota bacterium. RNAcentral describes it as "Bacteroidetes bacterium (activated sludge metagenome) RNase P RNA component class A". It matches the Rfam family "Bacterial RNase P class A". From Rfam's summary of the family: Ribonuclease P (RNase P) is a ubiquitous endoribonuclease, found in archaea, bacteria and eukarya as well as chloroplasts and mitochondria. The record is from RNAcentral. Lineage: Bacteria; Pseudomonadati; Bacteroidota.
GCGGUUAGUUGUCCUGUCGCUGGUGGCUUAGGCUGCUGGAGGAAAGUCCGGGCAACAUAGAGCAGUACGCUUCCUAACGGGAAGGAAUAGCCAAAGGAAUUUGUCUAUUACGGAAAGUGCCGCAGAAAGGGAAACUACCUCUAUUCGGAGGAAAAGAUGAAAAGGUGAGGUAAGAGCUCACCAGUGCGUGUGGAGACACCGUAGCUUGGUAAACCCCGUACGUUGCAAAACCAAAUAAGCCAGCGCUUUAAGAGCGGCUCGUUCAAUGCUGGUGGGUAGGUUGCUAGAGCUUGUUGGCAACAGCAAGCCCAGAUAAAUGGCAGGGCUAGACAGAACCCGGCUUAUAGACUAACCAAUAUG